UGGCUCAGAUGGUAAAGCAUCUGCCUGCAAUGCAGGAGACCCAGGUUUGAUUCCUUG
RNAcentral lists this transfer RNA (57 nucleotides) under Capra hircus (goat). It matches the Rfam family "tRNA", at positions 8 to 63 of the family's 71-position model. Rfam says of the family: Transfer RNA (tRNA) molecules are approximately 80 nucleotides in length. Their secondary structure includes four short double-helical elements and three loops (D, anti-codon, and T loops). Further hydrogen bonds mediate the characteristic L-shaped molecular structure. tRNAs have two regions of fundamental functional importance: the anti-codon, which is responsible for specific mRNA codon recognition, and the 3' end, to which the tRNAs corresponding amino acid is attached (by aminoacyl-tRNA synthetases). tRNAs cope with the degeneracy of the genetic code in two manners: having more than one tRNA (with a specific anti-codon) for a particular amino acid; and 'wobble' base-pairing, i.e. permitting non-standard base-pairing at the 3rd anti-codon position. The record is from Rfam by way of RNAcentral. RNAcentral also lists the same sequence under 1 other name. Lineage: Eukaryota; Metazoa; Chordata; Mammalia; Artiodactyla; Bovidae.